UUGUUCAUUUUGUCGGACAUAGCAAAAAAGAAUUUCAUGAUCUCUGUAUUUUGUUACAUUGACAUCAGGUGCUUUUGAUGAGAAACAACAGUGAAAUAUCGUGUUCAUAAUAGAAACGAAAGUCAGGUAUUGCAGUAGGAAGUCUUUGUCAGCUUAAUGCUGAAGCCAAGAGUAGCACAAGGCACCACAUUCUUGUGCCCAUGGCAGGUUUUUAUAAUCCUUCUGAGUUCUCUUUGACAUCAAGCCCCACGUUGUUCCCCAAUCUCAAUAUACUGUUGGAGGCAGCCACUUAACAAUUAUAGUUGAAACCUGCCCCACAUUGUUCCCCAGUCUCAAUAUUCUGUUGGAGGCAGCCACUUAACAAUUAGAGUUGAAACCUGUCUGCCAUCCUUUGUCUCAAUGUUUGAGGAUGUACGCAGUGUUUUUGGCAGCGAUUAUAGGAAUGCAGUUGUUUAUUUGGCCUCAGCAGUUUAUUUAUGGCUGCAAUUAAUAUCCCUGAUCAUGGGCUUUUAAACCUAAAAUAGUUCAGAUCCUCCCUUGUUCCUCUUAAUGUCUAAAAGCUUUGAUUCUGUAAUAAGAAUAAAGUGUUGGAGUUGAAUAAAUUAAUUACACCCUUUGUAAGCUUUAAAAACAUGAAAUUUAAGGCUUACUCAUGUUGCUUGUAUUGAUACUCAUAUAGUUCAAUUUAGGUUAAUUUUUGUGUUAGGUAUAUCUCUUCUGGAACUGAUAAUUUGUAAUCUUAGACUUUUUUUUUUUUUAAGAUAAGUUACUUAGAGUAAGAAAUCCAGCUGGGAACAGUGGCUCAUGCCUGUAAUCCCAGCAUUUUGGGAGGCCGAGGCGGCUGGAUCACUUGAGGUCAGGAGUUUGAGACCAGCCUGGCUAACAUGGAGAAACCCUGUCUCUACUAAAAAUACAAAAAAUUAGCCAGGCAUGGUGGCAGGUGCCACACCCAGCUACUUGGGAGGCUGAGGCAGUAGAAUCGCUUGAACCCGGGAGGCGGAGGUUGCAGUGAGCCAAGAUCGCAUGACUGCACACUAGCCCGGGCAACAGAGUGAGAUUGUCUCAAAAGAAAAAAAAAAAAAAAUCCAUUCACAGAACUGCUAAAGAAAAACUAGAGGAAUAUUUUGCUCAUUUAGCUUUAAAACUCAUUAUUAGAGGUGUGUAUUUUACAGUUUUCUAAAUAUAGAUUAUGCUUUAUAAUACACAUAAAGCAAGUAUAUAUAACAUGCAUAUAGUAAAUAAAUUUUAAAAUAUUGACUAUUCCCCAGUUAAGCCUAUACUUCUUAAGGGAGACUACUGAUGUCAUUUUAAGCAUGUUUCAAAAUUCAAGUUUUAUUUUUAGAUCAAUAAGGUUUUUUUUUUUUUUUUUUUUACAUGCUCAGCACUAUAGGAAUAAGAGGACAGUGGAGAUUUGUAGGCUAAUAAGAUCGCUUUUAAACUUUGUGGUCCAUGUAAAAUUAUUAGUUGGAGAAUGUGUAAUUAGAGAACUAUAAGAUAAAGAGAUAACCUUUAGAAUUUGAAUGUACUAAAAUUGUACACAGCUUGGAAUAUUAAAAUCUUAAGGAUAUGCAAUGUUAAAACUG
Molecule: small RNA, 1583 nt
Filed under: Pan troglodytes (chimpanzee)
Lineage: Eukaryota; Metazoa; Chordata; Mammalia; Primates; Hominidae
Description: processed transcript
Source: RNAcentral